Molecule: long non-coding RNA, 488 nt
Organism: Bradysia coprophila
Lineage: Eukaryota; Metazoa; Arthropoda; Insecta; Diptera; Sciaridae
Source: RefSeq, a predicted model, not a curated record
UCAGUCCGCAAAAGUUCUCUUACCAAGUGAAAGUGAAUUGCAGUAUUUUUCGAAAUGAUUUCCAACAGCCUCAAUUUUUACUGCAUUAUAUUCAGUUUAUUCGUUGCAACUCAAGCAGUUGAUGUUUAUUUUUACGAACAUGCGGGAAGACAAGGUGUCUAUUUCAUAUCCAAUACCAACGAAGGUCUUUGCUAUGAAAUGCAUUCCAUGCUGAACGAUCGCGUUUCUUCUCUUGUGACCCCGUCGCAGAUGUGCUUGGAUGUUUAUGAGCAUGGCGGUUGUACAGGUAGGAGCAGACAUUUUGCGGCUGGAUACUCCGCGACGUAUGAACUAGGAGGCACCGAGUUCAACGAUAUGAUAAGCUCGUAUGGAAUAUCAAGUCGUGGAAGGAAUGGCUGUCAAUAAAAUACUAACAUUGGAAACGUCUGUUCAUAAUAAUUGGUAUUUGGUCUCAGUUUCAGUGAUGAAUAAAUGAUGACCUUUGUAUA